GUUCUGUAAGCCUGUGAAGGUGUGUCGUGAGGCAUGCUGGAGGUAUCAGAAGUGCGAAUGCUGACAUAAGUAACGAUAAAGCGGGUGAAAAGCCCGCUCGCCGGAAGACCAAGGGUUCCUGUCCAACGUUAAUCGGGGCAGGGUGAGUCGACCCCUAAGGCGAGGCCGAAAGGCGUAGUCGAUGGGAAACGGGUUAAUAUUCCCGUACUUGGUGUUACUGCGAAGGGGGGACGGAGAAGGCUAUGUUGGCCGGGCGACGGUUGUCCCGGUUUAAGCGUGUAGGUGUGUGUUCCAGGUAAAUCCGGUUCACUUUAACACUGAGGCGUGACGACGAGGCACUACGGUGCUGAAGCAACAAAUGCCCUGCUUCCAGGAAAAGCCUCUAAGCAUCAGGUAACAUCAAAUCGUACCCCAAACCGACACAGGUGGUCAGGUAGAGAAUACCAAGGCGCUUGAGAGAACUCGGGUGAAGGAACUAGGCAAAAUGGUGCCGUAACUUCGGGAGAAGGCACGCUGACACGUAGGUGAAGUGAUUUACUCACGGAGCUGAAGUCAGU
RNAcentral lists this ribosomal RNA (557 nucleotides) under Salmonella enterica subsp. enterica serovar Lattenkamp. RNAcentral describes it as "partial 23S ribosomal RNA". It matches the Rfam family "Bacterial large subunit ribosomal RNA", at positions 1238 to 1787 of the family's 2925-position model. Lineage: Bacteria; Pseudomonadati; Pseudomonadota; Gammaproteobacteria; Enterobacterales; Enterobacteriaceae. The record is from RNAcentral.